This 363-nucleotide ribosomal RNA is filed under the name Puccinia graminis. RNAcentral's name for it is "eukaryotic LSU rRNA". The stretch from base 1 to 108 matches the Rfam family "5.8S ribosomal RNA", at positions 43 to 154 of the family's 154-position model. The record is from RNAcentral. Lineage: Eukaryota; Fungi; Basidiomycota; Pucciniomycetes; Pucciniales; Pucciniaceae.
ACACGGAUGUGAUAGGUAUGUGAAUUGCAGAAUUCAGGUGAAUCAUCGAAUCUUUGAACGCAUCUUGCACCUUUUGGUAUUCCAAAAGGUACACCUGUUUGAGUGUCAUGAAACCCUCUCAUUAAACAUUUUAUUUUUGAUUUGUUUAGUGGAUGUUGAGUGUUGCUGUACCUAUAGCUCACUUUAAAUAUAUAAGUCACUUUUCAAAUAAGUUGGAUUGACUUGGUGUAAUAAUUUUAUCAUCACAUCAAGGAAAGUAGUAAAACACUUGCCAUCUUGUUUGUUAAUAAGAGACUCCUAAAACCCAAUAUCUUAUUUUUAAGACCUCAAAUCAGGUGGGACUACCCGCGAAACCUUAAGCAA